RNAcentral lists this RNase P RNA (428 nucleotides) under Bacteroidetes/Chlorobi group bacterium Naka2016. RNAcentral describes it as "RNase P RNA component class A". It matches the Rfam family "Bacterial RNase P class A". Rfam says of the family: Ribonuclease P (RNase P) is a ubiquitous endoribonuclease, found in archaea, bacteria and eukarya as well as chloroplasts and mitochondria. Lineage: Bacteria; Pseudomonadati. The record is from RNAcentral.
AUGGAAGGGUGGGCAGCCGCAAGGGUUCUUCGGAGAAUCCUUGAGGAAAGUCCGAACUCCACGGAGCAGCCCGCUUCCUAACGGGAAGGCAGCGAGCCCCGAUGGGGCAAGCUGACGGAAAGUGCCACAGAGAACAGUCUGCCAAUCCGGCUUGCGAACCGCAAGCGUCACGGAGGCGAUGGUGAAACGGUGGGGUAAGAGCCCACCAGCACUCUGGGCGACCAGAGUGGCUUGGCAAACCCCGGGCGGAGCAAGGUCAAAUAGUGAAGCAUUGGGGAAACCCAGCCGAGUGGCUCCAUCGGUAACCCUUUCGGGUUGUGCUUCUGGGUAGACCGCUUGAGGGCAUUGGUGACAAUGCCCCCAGAUAAAUGGCUGCCUCCACCAUUUUUUGGUGCAGACAGAAUUCGGCUUAUAACCCUUUCAUCUGA